UACGUAGGGGGCAAGCGUUAUCCGGAUUUACUGGGUGUAAAGGGAGUGUAGGCGGCGGAGCAAGUCAGAAGUGAAAGCCCGGGGCUCAACCCCGGGACGGCUUUUGAAACUGCCCUGCUUGAUUUCAGGAGAGGUAAGCGGAAUUCCUAGUGUAGCGGUGAAAUGCGUAGAUAUUAGGAGGAACACCAGUGGCGAAGGCGGCUUACUGGACUGACAAUGACGCUGAGGCUCGAAAGCGUGGGGAGCAAACAGG
Molecule: ribosomal RNA, 253 nt
Filed under: Pseudocoprococcus catus
Lineage: Bacteria; Bacillati; Bacillota; Clostridia; Lachnospirales; Lachnospiraceae
Description: Coprococcus catus partial 16S ribosomal RNA
Rfam family: Bacterial small subunit ribosomal RNA
Source: RNAcentral